Molecule: ribosomal RNA, 492 nt
Filed under: uncultured bacterium
Lineage: Bacteria
Description: partial 16S ribosomal RNA
Rfam family: Bacterial small subunit ribosomal RNA
Source: RNAcentral
AGUGAACGCUGGCGGUAGGCCUAACACAUGCAAGUCGAACGGCAGCACAGUAAGAGCUUGCUCUUACGGGUGGCGAGUGGCGGACGGGUGAGGAAUACAUCGGCAUCUACUUUUUCGUGGGGGAUAACGUAGGGAAACUUACGCUAAUACCGCAUACGACCUACGGGUGAAAGCAGGGGAUCUUCGGACCUUGCGCGAUUGAAUGAGCCGAUGUCGGAUUAGCUAGUUGGCGGGGUAAAGGCCCACCAAGGCGACGAUCCGUAGCUGGUCUGAGAGGAUGAUCAGCCACACUGGAACUGAGACACGGUCCAGACUCCUACGGGAGGCAGCAGUGGGGAAUAUUGGACAAUGGGCGCAAGCCUGAUCCAGCCAUACCGCGUGGGUGAAGAAGGCCUUCGGGUUGUAAAGCCCUUUUGUUGGGAAAGAAAGGCAGCAGGUUAAUACCCCGCUGUUCUGACGGUACCCAAAGAAUAAGCACCGGCUAACUUCGUG